Molecule: non-coding RNA, 171 nt
Filed under: Pseudactinobacillus ducreyi
Lineage: Bacteria; Pseudomonadati; Pseudomonadota; Gammaproteobacteria; Pasteurellales; Pasteurellaceae
Also listed under: 1 other name
Description: Haemophilus ducreyi Lysine sequence
Rfam family: Lysine riboswitch aptamer
About the family: Riboswitches are metabolite binding domains within certain messenger RNAs that serve as precision sensors for their corresponding targets. Allosteric rearrangement of mRNA structure is mediated by ligand binding, and this results in modulation of gene expression. This family includes riboswitches that sense lysine in a number of genes involved in lysine metabolism, including lysC.
Source: RNAcentral
ACAAAUUGUAGAGGUGCAAAUCCGAUAAGUAUUUCUUCUGAGUGGAAAGCGAUGAAGGGGAAGGAAAGGCGUAUUUGCCGAAAUCAAUUAAGCGUCAUCUUAGUUGGUUGGGGUCGUUGCCGAAAGGGACGACACUGUCGUAAUUCAAUAUUACGGAGUGCUACUAUUAGG